AUUGAACGCUGGCGGCAGGCCUAACACAUGCAAGUCGAGCGAGUGGCGGACGGGUGAGUAAUGUCUGGGAAACUGCCUGAUGGAGGGGGAUAACUACUGGAAACGGUAGAUAAUACCGCAUACCAUCGGAUGUGCCCAGAUGGGAUUAGCUAGUAGGUGGGGUAACGGCGCACCUAGGCGACGAUCCCUAGCUGGUCGGAGAGGAUGACCAGCCACACUGGAACGGAGACAUGUUCCAGACUCCUACGGGACGCAGCAGUGGGGAAUAUUGCACAAUGGGCGCAAGCCUGAUGCAGCCAUGCCGCGUGUAUGAAGAAGGCCUUCGGGUUGUAAAGUACUUUCAGCGGGGAGGCGUUACCCGCAGAAGAAGCACCGGCUAACUCCGUGCCAGCAGCCGCGGUAAUUC
This 406-nucleotide ribosomal RNA is filed under the name uncultured bacterium. RNAcentral describes it as "partial 16S ribosomal RNA". It matches the Rfam family "Bacterial small subunit ribosomal RNA", at positions 30 to 526 of the family's 1533-position model. The record is from RNAcentral.